Molecule: long non-coding RNA, 210 nt
Filed under: Mytilus galloprovincialis (Mediterranean mussel)
Lineage: Eukaryota; Metazoa; Mollusca; Bivalvia; Mytilida; Mytilidae
Source: RNAcentral
UUAUUCCUGAUUCCAUUGUUUUAUAUUUGUCUUAUUCCAUAUUGUUAUUCCUGAUUCCAUUGUUUUAUAUUUGUCUAAUUCCAUAUUUUUAUUUAAAAUGUUCAUGACUAUAAAACAAAAUAUAUUGGUCAAGCAAAAUUACUUAUAACUGGCAUGAACUUACAAAAAAGGUGAAGCUUACAUGCAGUGACAGGUAGUCACAAAUAGGGG